UACGAAGGGGGCUAGCGUUGUUCGGAAUCACUGGGCGUAAAGGGCGCGUAGGCGGCUUGAUAAGUCGGGGGUGAAAGCCUGUGGCUCAACCACAGAAUUGCCUUCGAUACUGUCGAGCUUGAGACCGGAAGAGGUAAGUGGAACUGCGAGUGUAGAGGUGAAAUUCGUAGAUAUUCGCAAGAACACCAGUGGCGAAGGCGGCUUACUGGUCCGGUACUGACGCUGAGGUGCGAAAGCGUGGGGAGCAAACAGG
Molecule: ribosomal RNA, 253 nt
Filed under: uncultured bacterium
Lineage: Bacteria
Description: partial 16S ribosomal RNA
Rfam family: Bacterial small subunit ribosomal RNA
Source: RNAcentral